RNAcentral lists this ribosomal RNA (270 nucleotides) under uncultured archaeon. Its description in RNAcentral is "partial 16S ribosomal RNA". It matches the Rfam family "Archaeal small subunit ribosomal RNA", at positions 477 to 747 of the family's 1478-position model. The record is from RNAcentral.
CAGCUCUCCGAGUGGUAGGGACGAUUAUUGGGCUUAAAGCGUCCGUAGCCGGCUCAGCAAGUCCUCCGUUAAAUCCAGCGAUUCAAUCGUUGGACUGCGGGGGAUACUGUUGGGCUAGGGGACGAGAGAGGCCGACGGUAUUCUCGGAGUAGGGGUGAAAUCCUAUAAUUCCGGGAGGACCACCAGUGGCGAAGGCUGUCGGCUAGAACGAGCUCGACGGUGAGGGACGAAAGCUGGGGGAGCGAACCGGAUUAGAUACCCGAGUAGUCC